This 576-nucleotide ribosomal RNA is filed under the name Salmonella enterica. RNAcentral describes it as "partial 23S ribosomal RNA". It matches the Rfam family "Bacterial large subunit ribosomal RNA", at positions 2164 to 2739 of the family's 2925-position model. RNAcentral also lists the same sequence under 8 other names. Lineage: Bacteria; Pseudomonadati; Pseudomonadota; Gammaproteobacteria; Enterobacterales; Enterobacteriaceae. The record is from RNAcentral.
GUGGACGCCAGUCUGCAUGGAGCCGACCUUGAAAUACCACCCUUUAAUGUUUGAUGUUCUAACGUGGACCCGUAAUCCGGGUUGCGGACAGUGUCUGGUGGGUAGUUUGACUGGGGCGGUCUCCUCCUAAAGAGUAACGGAGGAGCACGAAGGUUGGCUAAUCCUGGUCGGACAUCAGGAGGUUAGUGCAAUGGCAUAAGCCAGCUUGACUGCGAGCGUGACGGCGCGAGCAGGUGCGAAAGCAGGUCAUAGUGAUCCGGUGGUUCUGAAUGGAAGGGCCAUCGCUCAACGGAUAAAAGGUACUCCGGGGAUAACAGGCUGAUACCGCCCAAGAGUUCAUAUCGACGGCGGUGUUUGGCACCUCGAUGUCGGCUCAUCACAUCCUGGGGCUGAAGUAGGUCCCAAGGGUAUGGCUGUUCGCCAUUUAAAGUGGUACGCGAGCUGGGUUUAGAACGUCGUGAGACAGUUCGGUCCCUAUCUGCCGUGGGCGCUGGAGAACUGAGGGGGGCUGCUCCUAGUACGAGAGGACCGGAGUGGACGCAUCACUGGUGUUCGGGUUGUCAUGCCAAUGGCACU